CCCUUAGAUGUUCUGGGCCGCACGCGCGCUACACUGACGAAGUCAGCGAGCAUGUCCUACGCCGACAGGUGCGGGGAAUCUUGUCAAACUUCGUCGUGAUGGGGAUUGAUUAUUGAAAUUCUUGAUCAUCAACGAGGAAUUCCUAGUAAGCGCAAGUCAGCAGCUUGCGUUGAUUACGUCCCUGCCCUUUGUACACACCGCCCGUCGCUACUACCGAUUGAAUGGUUUAGUGAGAUCUUCGGAUUGGCGCCACUGCUGCUCAGCAAUGGGCUCGGUGGAUGCCGAAAAGUUGAUCAAACUUGAUCAUUUAGAGGAAGUAAAAGUCGUAACA
This 331-nucleotide ribosomal RNA is filed under the name uncultured eukaryote. RNAcentral's name for it is "partial 18S ribosomal RNA". It matches the Rfam family "Eukaryotic small subunit ribosomal RNA", at positions 1470 to 1796 of the family's 1831-position model. The record is from RNAcentral.